GUAGCCCUGAUAUUAAUUGGUUGGUACUCUAGACUAGACUUCCUGGUUAAAAACUCAUUACGUUAGACUUAACUGUUCAGCGUACAAAUUGUCAAUGAUUUCAGGUAAGCAAUAAUUCUUUUAUCAGAACAAAUGUUAGCGUAUAUCGCUAUAUUUCAAACUGUUAUGUAUAUUGUUAACACUAAUAAUUUCGGACUUUUACGUUGUUGUAUUUUUUUGUAUUUGCAUACAAAGUUUUAUACGUGCAUAGAAAUAUAGAUUUCUCAAGUUCGGAUAAUGACGUUUUUGUGGAAGUCGGGUAUAAGUUUGCCUGUAGUAAGGAUUUGGGGACAUCAGCUUUUGUAAUCAGAAAAUCUUAAUAUCCUACAAUCUAGAAGACGUCAAGUUGUUCAUUCAUUCAAUGCACUAUAUUUAUAUAUUUAAUUAACAAGUUUUUUUCAAAUCGAUCUUGAUGGCUUCAUUGGGAUUGAACUUGAAUUGAGUCAAAUAAGUUUUCUUAUGUAUCAGUUAAAACAACAUUAAAUUUAAUUUAGUCUGUUCAGCUUUAUUUCAAAAAUUUACAAUAAUUUCACUUCGGGCAAAAUAUAAAAGUACCUUGGUUAUGUUCUUGAAUUUGCUCUUAGAAAUCUCUCAAAAAGACUCCGAUAUCUGAAUGAAGUUUCAUAUGUAUUUAGAUCAGAUCUCAAUGUUACAACGCUUUCAAUUGUUGUUCUGCAUCUUGUUUGUCGAAUUUGUAUAUUAAAAAUGCGCAAAGACGAGUUUUCUCUGGCGUAUAUACAAAAUUUAGUCCUGGUAUCUAUGAUGAGUUUAUUUACAACCACUGGGUCGAUGUCACUGCUGCUGGAGAUUUAUUUCCAAGAGGGUAUCACCAGCCCAGUAGUCAACACUUUUUGUACUGAGAUGAAUUAUCAUUGAUAUGGUUAUAUUUAUAAAUUAACUGUUUACAAAAUUUUGAAUUUUUGAAAAACUAAGGCUUUUCUACCUCAGGCAUAGAUUACCUUAGCUGUAUUUGGCAUAACUUUUUGGAAUUUUGGUCCUUGAUGCUCUUCAACUUUAUACUUUAUUUGGCCUUUUUAACUUUUUUGGAUUCGAGCGUCACUGACGAGUCUUUUGUAGACGAAACGCGCGUCUGGCGUAUAUACAAAAUUUAGUCCUGGUAUCUAUGAUGAGUUUAUUUCUACGUUUAUAGUAUCUUUAUUGAUGACAUCAAACCUCGUGUAUAUCAACCGACAAUUUGUUUUCAUUUAAUUGAUUUAUGACCUUUAAAAAGAGGUAGACAUAAAGGCAACAGUAGUAUACCGAUGUUCAAAACUCAUAAAUCGAUAGAAAAAAAGAAAUCCGGGUCACAAACAAAAAACCGAGGGAAACGCAUUAAAUAUAAGAGAAUGACAACACAACAUUAAAAUGUAACACACACAGAAACGAACUAAGCAUUGGCACUCACACCACAUGUUCCUAUAUCAAUGUACAAUAUAAUCUGUGCUCAAUGCAAUUCCAAUUCAAUGGAUUACAGUGGAUUCAUUCUUCUUUGUUGAAAACCAAUUUUCGCGGAUUUCAUUAGUACUAGUACAUGUAAACCACAAAAUUAAAUGUACAACGAAAAACAAAUGUUCUAAAGGCUUGUAUGAAGACUUAGGAAAGCCACGACAUUCUAUGCAUGUAUCUUGAAAAAAUGCACGUUUUCUUUAAUCCACGACAAUUAGUACCCACGAAUAUAAAUGAAUCCACAGUAAUCAAUUGUUUACAACAGAAUUUGAUAUAUGUUACCUAUUGCAUUUGCAAUAUUUAUAGGCGGUAAUAGGACGUGUAUACGUAUCUAAAAGCGUUUAAACAAUUCACAAGACCAACAAUGUUUAGUUACCUCUAAAAUCGACUCGAUGCAAAAAUGUGAUUUCGUAGUUACGGAUGGAUCAAUUCUUUAUAAAGCAUUGUCAUAUACCAACGUAUUCUGAUAUUGUUGGAAUUUCAAAUAGUAAAAAAAGAAAGACACUUCUUUAGGCGAUAUAUUCCCUAAGGCUUUUGAAAAAAACUUUAACAGGGUUGGUUGAAUCAAUAGUUGGCUUGUCUUAUAUUAAUUACGUACGUUUAAUAGCAAAAAAAGGAAGUUAAAAGGCUCAAUCAUACCAGACAACUUAAAUUAGUAUUACUAAUAAAUUAAAACAAAGCUUUAUAAUACAACAUAAAAGUUCAGAAUGUAUUCUGAACUGAGAAAGCUAAUUAAUUGCAUGGAAUCUUACAUAACAUAAGACUAUAUUUACAUUUCAUACGCAAAAAGAACAUUUGUGAUGAAAGGCAACAGUAGUAUUGAAGAUUCGUUGAUUCGUUUUGAAGAAUAAUUACUGACAUUUUUUCUCCAUCUGCUGCCCAUAUAUUUUUUCGAGAUUCUACAGAUACAUUCAUAUCUGUUUUUAAAGUCAGUAUGGUAAAUGCAACCUGAACCUCAGCUGAUGAUUGUUUUUGGUUCUUUUAUCGGGACGAUCAUUGAAGAUUAUUUCGCUUGCAGUCGUGAUACACAUCUCGUUUUCAAAGAAAAAUAAACAAUAAAAACACUAAAAAGCAAAAUACAAUAACAAAAUAAUUCAAAGGAUACAAUGUCUUCUUUAUUUCAUACCACCCACAUCUUGUUCACGGAGAUAAAACAUCAAACGAUCUUUCAAAUUAGAAGUCCACAUUUUAACCUGUGUAUCGUUUUUCAUAAAUUUUAAGAUGAUUUUGGAAGAUUGCAAAUAUUUUUUCCAUGUCAAAAAUAAAGACUUUGUUAUUAUUUAUUGGUUAUUAUAAGAUUGUUCAUGAUGUGGCAAAUAUCGUUAGAUUUGUAAAUUCAUUAUACAUGUGAUAUCAUACUCAUGCCACCCUUACACUCUCCAUGUGUGUAUGUUAUUGUUGGAAAAUGAAUACCCUCAUAGAUUGUCGUGACAUCUUAGGCUACCUCGUUUUAUUUGUUUUUAAAAAUAGAUAAGUUAGAUAAACAUGUUACGCCAUCAGCAUUUCCUUUGGUUUUUGUCAAUGUGGGGAUACAGUCUGUGCUGCCCUUCCUCGUGUACUUGUUCAAAUCGAAGAGUCUACUGUAAUAAUCCACAACAAAUGUUUGAUUCAAUACCUACAGAUAUACCUUCAAAUACUUUAUACCUGUAAGUACUAUAUAUAUACUCAUUUUAUUAUACUCGCACAUUUCAGAAUAUUCAAUUGAUAAUCAGGGUUUUUAUUCAACAUGUAAUUUAAGUGUACAGUGAUUAAUUACAGUAAUUUCACAUAUGAAACAAAAAUCAACACGCAAUUAAUUACGAUCAUCGUAACAACCUCUCUAUAGCAAACUGAAUACAAUGUCGCAAAGUUGAGACAUCAAACAUAAGAUCAUUUGACAACACAUAUAUAAAGAAACAUUUACUAUGAUACAAUAACACAAUGACGGAAUUUUUCAAUACAGAGCCACGUCAUAUGUAACAAAAAAAUACAAAAAAGCGCAGUAGGAAAAAAGAAAAUUGGAAUACAAAAACUAUCAUAGAACAAUGACGGUAUGUAAACGUAUAAAACCAUCGCAUAUUUAGUUAAAAUGAGGGAAAUAUUCAUUAGUUUACUACAUUUCACUGUCACACAAUAGGACAGCAUUUAGUAUCUGAUUUUAUUUUUUAAAUCCUGACAUAAAUGUAAUUUAAAGUAGACAUGUAAUGAAGGGACGGAUAAUACCAGAGGGACAGUCAAACUCAUAGAUUGAAAAUAAACUGACAACGCCAUGGGUAAAAAUAAAAAGACAAACAGACAAAUAAUAGUACAGAAGACACACAAUUGAAAACUAAAAACUAAGCAAAACGAACCCUAUCAAAAACUGGGGGUGAUAUCAGGAGCUCCGGAAGGGUAAGCAGAUCCUACUCCAUAUUUGAAAACUGCAAGAAAAUAGCAUGCAAUGAUAGCCCCGGUCAAUUCUUUUAUUGGCAUUCUUAAUAAUUCUAUUUCCAGCUACUUUGAUAACCAGCUUUUACGAAAUCUAAGCUCUUUGAAUUGUAAUCAGUUUCCGGACCUACAAGAGUUGUAAGUAUCCUACAUAUAUGUACAUUUCAAAUCAAACCACUUCCCGAAAUUUUGGCAAGGAAUGAAUAAAUUAAAUAUAUGCAAUAGUAGUUCGCCGAUGUUUAUAUGUUUUAAAUUGAUUAGGAAGAUACAAUGUAAACCAUAGAGACAAACACACAAAAUAAGAAAAUUGGAUGAACUCCAAAACGAGAGAAACGGUGUCAGAAUCUCCUGCUAUGCACACAUCAUCCGUGCUUAGAAUCCAUACUCAGUCAACAUAUCCCAAUCGAGAAUAUGUUAUAAUCGAUAUAUAUACAGACUGGACGAGAACAUUUGUAUAUAAAGUCCUUAUAAUGAGAACAUGUACGAGCAUUUACUGUCACUUGAAUAUUUGAACGGUGUACAAUGUAGCAGAGGGAACACUUCUGCUGAAAAAUUAAAGUAGACAAUUGGAAAGUUGUAACCCUCACGUUUGUCGGUUCUUGUUCCGAGAAAACUCAAGAUAUGAAGCAGGAUUUCUAGUUAAAGCAUAUUUUUAAUUUCACGUUCAGUGGGAUAAAUAAGAUGCAAGCAAAUAUGAGAUGAAAUCAGGUAAUAAAGUUGUAGAGUAUCUUUGAUAUUCUGGUACUUUUUUUACGCAAUAAAAAUUAUAAGACUAUUUCAAUAAAGAUUAAAUUCACAAAUAUACACAAGGGUAAUUUCAUUUAUUUUCAAUUUUUUUGGUAGUGUUGGAAAUUAACAGUAUCACAUCUUUUUGUAGUUGAUGCACAUUUGUACUUAAUUUUGUAAUAAAGUUAUAACAUUGUUAUAAAGCUUAUUUCCAAACAAUUGACUGACUAUAGAUGUGUAGAAAUAUCUUUCAUAUGCAGUUUGACAUGUAUCCAGAAUUAAUUAAUGAAGGACUAUAAAACCAAAACAAAAGUUCCGAUGAAACUUACUUAAUGUUUUUGUUUUUAUUUUAGGUAUAUAAACAGAAAUCAAAUUGAAGUGAUACAGGACACAGAUUUUCUUGGAUGUUCGUCGCUAAAUAGAUU
RNAcentral lists this long non-coding RNA (5042 nucleotides) under Mytilus galloprovincialis (Mediterranean mussel). The record is from RNAcentral. Lineage: Eukaryota; Metazoa; Mollusca; Bivalvia; Mytilida; Mytilidae.